This 363-nucleotide ribosomal RNA is filed under the name uncultured bacterium. RNAcentral's name for it is "partial 16S ribosomal RNA". It matches the Rfam family "Bacterial small subunit ribosomal RNA", at positions 338 to 693 of the family's 1533-position model. The record is from RNAcentral.
CCUACGGGUGGCAGCAGUGGGGAAUAUUGCGCAAUGGGCGAAAGCCUGACGCAGCGACGCCGCGUGAGGGAUGAAGGUCUUCGGAUCGUAAACCUCUGUCAGCAGGGAAGAACGGUCACUUUGCUAAUCAGCAGUGAAUUGACGGAACCUGCAAAGGAAGCACCGGCUAACUCCGUGCCAGCAGCCGCGGUAAUACGGAGGGUGCGAGCGUUAAUCGGAAUUACUGGGCGUAAAGCGCGCGUAGGCGGUAUGUCAAGUCAAGGGGGAAAUCCCCGCGCUGAACGUGGGAACUGCCUGUGAAACUGGCAAACGGGGGUGUGUGAGAGGAGGGUGGAAUUCCAGGGGAAGGAGUGAAAUCGGUAG